RNAcentral lists this ribosomal RNA (164 nucleotides) under Leymus paboanus. Its description in RNAcentral is "5.8S ribosomal RNA". It matches the Rfam family "5.8S ribosomal RNA". Rfam says of the family: 5.8S ribosomal RNA (5.8S rRNA) is a component of the large subunit of the eukaryotic ribosome. It is transcribed by RNA polymerase I as part of the 45S precursor that also contains 18S and 28S rRNA. Lineage: Eukaryota; Viridiplantae; Streptophyta; Magnoliopsida; Poales; Poaceae. The record is from RNAcentral.
CACACGACUCUCGGCAACGGAUAUCUCGGCUCUCGCAUCGAUGAAGAACGUAGCGAAAUGCGAUACCUGGUGUGAAUUGCAGAAUCCCGCGAACCAUCGAGUCUUUGAACGCAAGUUGCGCCCGAUGCCACUCGGCCGAGGGCACGCCUGCCUGGGCGUCACGC